This 455-nucleotide ribosomal RNA is filed under the name uncultured Streptococcus sp. Its description in RNAcentral is "bacterial SSU rRNA". It matches the Rfam family "Bacterial small subunit ribosomal RNA", at positions 926 to 1382 of the family's 1533-position model. Lineage: Bacteria; Bacillati; Bacillota; Bacilli; Lactobacillales; Streptococcaceae. The record is from RNAcentral.
CAAGCGGUGGAGCAUGUGGUUUAAUUCGAAGCAACGCGAAGAACCUUACCAGGUCUUGACAUCCCGAUGCUAUUUCUAGAGAUAGAAAGUUACUUCGGUACAUCGGUGACAGGUGGUGCAUGGUUGUCGUCAGCUCGUGUCGUGAGAUGUUGGGUUAAGUCCCGCAAUGAGCGCAACCCCUAUUGUUAGUUGCCAUCAUUCAGUUGGGCACUCUAGCGAGACUGCCGGUAAUAAACCGGAGGAAGGUGGGAUGACGUCAAAUCAUCAUGCCCCUUAUGACCUGGGCUACACACGUGCUACAAUGGUUGGUACAACGAGUUGCGAGUCGGUGACGGCGAGCUAAUCUCUUAAAGCCAAUCUCAGUUCGGAUUGUAGGCUGCAACUCGCCUACAUGAAGUCGGAAUCGCUAGUAAUCGCGGAUCAGCACGCCGCGGUCGAAUACGUUCCCGGGCCUU